CUGUAACUGGAAUGGCUAGAUGCCUACUAAUGCACUUCCAAAUAUUCCCAAAGAUGGCUGUGAAGACACUCUCCAGAUUUGCAUUCAGAAGGUAUUCAAGCACAGAGUAACUCAAGGGAGGCAGCUGAAAUUCACCCUGGUUGGUAACCCAAUACUCACACCUGGCUUUGGAAGAGAAAAAAGUUCUGUGGGGAAGGAAAUUGCCUUAUCAACUCUGCCUUGAAACCACAGACAUGGAGAUGGGCAUCCACACUACCCCAGAGCCCAGUGCCAGGCCCAGCUCAAGAGCAGGCAGAAUCAUCUUGAAAGGCCUGAAAGAAAUAUU
Long non-coding RNA from Melospiza melodia melodia, 325 nucleotides. RefSeq lists it as uncharacterized. The transcript is spliced from 3 exons. NCBI's taxonomy places the organism in Eukaryota, Metazoa, Chordata, Aves, Passeriformes, Passerellidae. The record is from RefSeq and is a predicted model, not a curated record.